GAUUGAACGCUGGCGGCAGGCCUAACACAUGCAAGUCGAGCGGAUGAAGGGAGCUUGCUCCUGGAUUCAGCGGCGGACGGGUGAGUAAUGCCUAGGAAUCUGCCUGGUAGUGGGGGAUAACGUCCGGAAACGGGCGCUAAUACCGCAUACGUCCUGAGGGAGAAAGUGGGGGAUCUUCGGACCUCACGCUAUCAGAUGAGCCUAGGUCGGAUUAGCUAGUUGGUGGGGUAAAGGCCUACCAAGGCGACGAUCCGUAACUGGUCUGAGAGGAUGAUCAGUCACACUGGAACUGAGACACGGUCCAGACUCCUACGGGAGGCAGCAGUGGGGAAUAUUGGACAAUGGGCGAAAGCCUGAUCCAGCCAUGCCGCGUGUGUGAAGAAGGUCUUCGGAUUGUAAAGCACUUUAAGUUGGGAGGAAGGGCAGUAAGUUAAUACCUUGCUGUUUUGACGUUACCAACAGAAUAAGCACCGGCUAACUUCGUGCCAGCAGCCGCGGUAAUACGAAGGGUGCAAGCGUUAAUCGGAAUUACUGGGCGUAAAGCGCGCGUAGGUGGUUCAGCAAGUUGGAUGUGAAAUCCCCGGGCUCAACCUGGGAACUGCAUCCAAAACUACUGAGCUAGAGUACGGUAGAGGGUGGUGGAAUUUCCUGUGUAGCGGUGAAAUGCGUAGAUAUAGGAAGGAACACCAGUGGCGAAGGCGACCACCUGGACUGAUACUGACACUGAGGUGCGAAAGCGUGGAGAGCAAACAGGAUUAGAUACCCUGGUAGUCCACGCCGUAAACGAUGUCGACUAGCCGUUGGGAUCCUUGAGAUCUUAGUGGCGCAGCUAACGCGAUAAGUCGACCGCCUGGGGAGUACGGCCGCAAGGUUAAAACUCAAAUGAAUUGACGGGGGCCCGCACAAGCGGUGGAGCAUGUGGUUUAAUUCGAAGCAACGCGAAGAACCUUACCUGGCCUUGACAUGCUGAGAACUUUCCAGAGAUGGAUUGGUGCCUUCGGGAACUCAGACACAGGUGCUGCAUGGCUGUCGUCAGCUCGUGUCGUGAGAUGUUGGGUUAAGUCCCGUAACGAGCGCAACCCUUGUCCUUAGUUACCAGCACCUCGGGUGGGCACUCUAAGGAGACUGCCGGUGACAAACCGGAGGAAGGUGGGGAUGACGUCAAGUCAUCAUGGCCCUUACGGCCAGGGCUACACACGUGCUACAAUGGUCGGUACAAAGGGUUGCCAAGCCGCGAGGUGGAGCUAAUCCCAUAAAACCGAUCGUAGUCCGGAUCGCAGUCUGCAACUCGACUGCGUGAAGUCGGAAUCGCUAGUAAUCGUGAAUCAGAAUGUCACGGUGAAUACGUUCCCGGGCCUUGUACACACCGCCCGUCACACCAUGGGAGUGGGUUGCUCCAGAAGUAGCUAGUCUAACCGCAAGGGGGACGGUUACCACGGAGUGAUUCAUGACUGGGGUGAAGUCGUAACAAGGAA
RNAcentral lists this ribosomal RNA (1475 nucleotides) under uncultured bacterium. Its description in RNAcentral is "partial 16S ribosomal RNA". It matches the Rfam family "Bacterial small subunit ribosomal RNA". The record is from RNAcentral.